This 503-nucleotide ribosomal RNA is filed under the name uncultured bacterium. Its description in RNAcentral is "bacterial SSU rRNA". It matches the Rfam family "Bacterial small subunit ribosomal RNA", at positions 791 to 1299 of the family's 1533-position model. The record is from RNAcentral.
UAGUCCACGCCCUAAACGAUGCUAACUCGAUAUUUGGAUCUUGAAUCUGAGUGUCUAAGCGAAAGUGAUAAGUAACCCACCUGGGGAGUACGUUCGCAAGAAUGAAACUCAAAGGAAUUGACGGGGGCCCGCACAAGCGGUGGAGCAUGUGGUUUAAUUCGAUGAUACGCGAGGAACCUUACCAGGGCUUAAAUGUAAGUUGCAUUAGUUAGAGAUAGCUAUUUCUUCGGACUACUUACAAGGUGCUGCAUGGUUGUCGUCAGCUCGUGCCGUGAGGUGUCAGGUUAAGUCCUAUAACGAGCGCAACCCCUACCGUUAGUUGCUAGCAGGUCAUGCUGAGGACUCUAACGGGACUGCCGGUGCAAACCGUGAGGAAGGUGGGGAUGACGUCAAAUCAUCACGGCCCUUACGUCCUGGGCUACACACGUGCUACAAUGGUAUAUACAGAGGGCAGCUACCUAGUGAUAGGAUGCGAAUCUUGAAAGUAUAUCUCAGUUCGGAUC